AUGGGAGUGAGAAUGUUGGCAUGAGUAGCGAGAUGUGGGUGAGAAUCCCACAGGCCGUAAACCCAAGGUUUCCAGGGGAAGGUUCGUCCGCCCUGGGUUAGUCGGGACCUAAGCUGAGGCCGAAAGGCGUAGGUGAUGGACAACAGGUUGAUAUUCCUGUACUACCGAUAACCGUUUGAGAGAAGGGAUGACACAGUAGGAUAAGCUAAGCACACUGUUGGUUAUGUGUGCCCAAGCAUUGAGGCAGUCAAAGUAGGCAAAUCCGCUUUGAUAAUGCUGGGAUGUGAUGGGGAGCGAAAUUUAGUAGCGAAGUAGCUGAUUUCACACUGUCAAGAAAAGUCUCUAUCGAGGUUAAAGGUACCCGUACCGCAAACCGACACAGGUGGGUGAGGAGAGUAUCCUAAGGC
Molecule: ribosomal RNA, 407 nt
Filed under: Clostridioides difficile
Lineage: Bacteria; Bacillati; Bacillota; Clostridia; Peptostreptococcales; Peptostreptococcaceae
Description: partial 23S ribosomal RNA
Rfam family: Bacterial large subunit ribosomal RNA
Source: RNAcentral